AGCUCCACUAGCGUAUGCUAAAGUUGCUGCAGUUAAAAAGCUCGUAGUUGAACCUUGGGCGGAGGGCGUGUGGUGCAAGAUGAUUGCUACUGCAUGCUCCCGCCUCUCUGGGACGAUGCACCUCACGGUGCUUCACUCCCGUGUUACUGUGAAGAAAUUAGAGUGUUUAAAGCAGGCAGUCGCUUGAAUACAUCAGCAUGGAAUAACAGGAUAGGACUCGGUCGAUCUUGUUGGUUUGGGGAUGCGAGUAAUGAUUGAUAGGAACAGUUGGGGGCAUUGGUAUUUAGCAGUCAGAGGUGAAAUUCUUGGAUUUGCUAAAGACUAACUAGUGCGAAAGCAUUUGCCAAGGAUGUUUUCA
RNAcentral lists this ribosomal RNA (358 nucleotides) under uncultured eukaryote. RNAcentral's name for it is "SSU rRNA". It matches the Rfam family "Eukaryotic small subunit ribosomal RNA", at positions 587 to 972 of the family's 1831-position model. The record is from RNAcentral.